RNAcentral lists this non-coding RNA (27 nucleotides) under Bombyx mori (domestic silkworm). The record is from RNAcentral. Lineage: Eukaryota; Metazoa; Arthropoda; Insecta; Lepidoptera; Bombycidae.
UCAUUAUGCGUGAGAAGUCUGGUAUAC